UGACCACUGGGCGGAUCGAACACCUAACCUUUCUAUCUGGAGUCGAGCGCGCUACCAUUGCGCCAAUCGAUC
Molecule: transfer RNA, 72 nt
Filed under: Necator americanus (New World hookworm)
Lineage: Eukaryota; Metazoa; Nematoda; Chromadorea; Rhabditida; Ancylostomatidae
Description: tRNA-Trp
Source: RNAcentral